This 209-nucleotide unclassified non-coding RNA is filed under the name soil metagenome. Its description in RNAcentral is "partial contains 5.8S ribosomal RNA, internal transcribed spacer 2, and large subunit ribosomal RNA". The record is from RNAcentral.
AACCUAGCACACCUGCGGUGUGUACCUGCGGAAGGAUCAUUACCGAGUUUACAACUCCCAAACCCCUGUGAACAUACCAAUUGUUGCCUCGGCGGAUCAGCCCGCUCCCGGUAAAACGGGACGGCCCGCCAGAGGACCCCUAAACUCUGUUUCUAUAUGUAACUUCUGAGUAAAACCAUAAAUAAAUCAAAACUUUUAGCAACGGAUCU